Molecule: unclassified non-coding RNA, 209 nt
Filed under: Glomeraceae sp.
Lineage: Eukaryota; Fungi; Glomeromycota; Glomeromycetes; Glomerales; Glomeraceae
Description: partial contains 5.8S ribosomal RNA and internal transcribed spacer 2
Rfam family: 5.8S ribosomal RNA (bases 1-71)
Source: RNAcentral
GUGAAUCAUCGAAUCUUUGAACGCAAAUUGCACUCUCUGGUAUUCCGGAGAGUAUUUCUGUUUGAGGGUCUGAUUAAAUAAAAAUCGGUGUGGUUGCUGCCUUUCGUGGUGACGCAUUGGAUUUGGGUCGUUUCGCUUUCGGUUAAGUGCUUUAAAAUUUCGUUUGAUUUUUUUAGCAUGUAUUUAAUUGAUUUUAUUUAAGUUUGAGA